AGUGAACGCUGGCGGCGUGGAUUAGGCAUGCAAGUCGAACGAUUCCCGCAAGGGAAUAGUGGCAAACGGGUGAGUAACACGUAAGCAAUCUUCCUUAAAGUUGAGCAUAGCUUCGCGAAAGCGGAGGUAAUACUCGAUGUAACCCAAUGAUCGCAUGGUCGAUGGGAUAAAGGUGGGGACCGCAAGGCCCACCGCUUUGAGAUGAGCUUGCGUCCUAUCAGCAGUUGGUGAGGUAAUGGCUCACCAAGGCUUAUGACGGGUAGCUGGUCUGAGAGGAUGGGUCAGCCACACGUGGGACUGAGACACUGCCCAGACUCCUA
Molecule: ribosomal RNA, 320 nt
Filed under: uncultured bacterium
Lineage: Bacteria
Description: partial 16S ribosomal RNA
Rfam family: Bacterial small subunit ribosomal RNA
Source: RNAcentral